This is a non-coding RNA of Aphanizomenon flos-aquae, 300 nucleotides long. Lineage: Bacteria; Bacillati; Cyanobacteriota; Cyanophyceae; Nostocales; Aphanizomenonaceae. The record is from Rfam.
GUCAGUAACCCAGCCCUAAAGGGACUGGGCUUGCAAGAGUAAUCAAGCAAGCCGUACUGACCAGACCACCCUGAGCGGCUUGCCCUGAGCGAAGUCGAAGGGAGUCGAAGGGUAGCCGUUAUUUGAGUCACGACACCUCGGAAUGCGUUCGCGCCAGCGUGCCGUCAGGCAUAGCUAGUUCCCUGCUCUGUCAUUUGCAAUUAAACAGUUUUAAGGUCACUGAAACAGUGUUGCAAGUCUAAAAAGCUCUUAUAACUGGUCGUUCGCGCCAGCGUGCCGGAGGCAUCUAGCUAACAUUAC